This 60-nucleotide unclassified non-coding RNA is filed under the name synthetic construct. The record is from RNAcentral.
ACUUAAGGUAGUGAACACAUGAAUAAAGUCAAAACAUAAGCUCCCGCCUAUGCCGGCUCA